AGUAUGAUUAAUAGGGAUAGUCGGGGGCAUCAGUAUUCAAUUGUCAGAGGUGAAAUUCUUGGAUUUAUUGAAGACUAACUACUGCGAAAGCAUUUGCCAAGGAUGUUUUCAUUAAUCAGUGAACGAAAGUUAGGGGAUCGAAGACGAUCAGAUACCGUCGUAGUCUUAACCAUAAACUAUGCCGACUAGGGAUCGGGCGGUGUUCAACUUAUGACCCGCUCGGCACCUUACGAGAAAUCAAAGUUUUUGGGUUCUGGGGGGAGUAUGGUCGCAAGGCUGAAACUUAAAGGAAUUGACGGAAGGGCACCACCAGAUGUGGAGCCUGCGGCUUAAUUUGACUCAACACGGGGAAACUCACCAGGUCCAGACACAUUAAGGAUUGACAGAUUGAGAGCUCUUUCUUGAUUAUGUGGGUGGUGGUGCAUGGCCGUUCUUAGUUGGUGGAGUGAUUUGUCUGCUUAAUUGCGAUAACGAACGAGACCUUAACCUGCUAAAUAGCCAGGCUAGCUUUUGCUGGUCGCCGGCUUCUUAGAGGGACUAUCGGCUCAAGCCGAUGGAAGUUUGAGGCAAUAACAGGUCUGUGAUGCCCUUAGAUGUUCUGGGGCCGCACGCGCGCUACACUGACAGAGCCAACGAGUAUAAACCUUAACCGAAGAGGUUUGGGUAAUCUUGUUAAACUUCUGUCGUGCU
Molecule: ribosomal RNA, 690 nt
Filed under: Arthrobotrys sp.
Lineage: Eukaryota; Fungi; Ascomycota; Orbiliomycetes; Orbiliales; Orbiliaceae
Description: SSU rRNA
Rfam family: Eukaryotic small subunit ribosomal RNA
Source: RNAcentral